This 97-nucleotide microRNA precursor is filed under the name Nicotiana sylvestris (wood tobacco). RNAcentral describes it as "MIR6152 microRNA precursor family". It matches the Rfam family "MIR6152 microRNA precursor family". Lineage: Eukaryota; Viridiplantae; Streptophyta; Magnoliopsida; Solanales; Solanaceae. The record is from Rfam by way of RNAcentral.
UGGACAGAUUAUUGUAUUCAAUUGUAUUCACGGCGUGAAAUAGGGGAUUAUACUGUUUUUAAAACGGAAAGUGAAUCAAUUAACAUAAUAGACUCCU